CGCUUACCACUUUGUGAUUCAUGACUGGGGUGAAGUCGUAACAAGGUAACCGUAGGGGAACCUGCGGUUGGAUCACCUCCUUACAUUAAAGAAGC
Molecule: ribosomal RNA, 95 nt
Filed under: Escherichia coli
Lineage: Bacteria; Pseudomonadati; Pseudomonadota; Gammaproteobacteria; Enterobacterales; Enterobacteriaceae
Description: partial 16S ribosomal RNA
Rfam family: Bacterial small subunit ribosomal RNA (bases 1-83)
Source: RNAcentral